RNAcentral lists this unclassified non-coding RNA (227 nucleotides) under Astragalus alpinus. The record is from RNAcentral. Lineage: Eukaryota; Viridiplantae; Streptophyta; Magnoliopsida; Fabales; Fabaceae.
UCGAUGCCUUACAUGCAGACCAACUCGUGAAUUUGUUUGAAUACAUAGGGAUGGUUGGGGUGUUUGUCACCACAGCCUCCCUUUGGGUAGGAGGGGGCGCGCACUGUGUUCCCCUAAUGCCCGAACACAAACCCCGGCGUUCAAUGCGCCAAGGAACUAAAAUUCGAUCAAUGCGCCCUGUCGGCCCGGAAACGGUGCUUUGGCGGUGGUGCCUUGUCACAUGACAC